This 594-nucleotide long non-coding RNA is filed under the name Elaeis guineensis (African oil palm). Its description in RNAcentral is "long non-coding RNA (EGUI_LNC074104)". Lineage: Eukaryota; Viridiplantae; Streptophyta; Magnoliopsida; Arecales; Arecaceae. The record is from RNAcentral.
CUGAGAUAGCACUGCUGCUUGCAGUGAGGCUGCUGGAGUUUGAUAGACACAUAAAUAUGGGUCUCAAUGAGCCCUUGUAGUGGAUAUUGAUGACAGUUGGUCCACUGUAGGAGUAGGAUGUGUAUCAAGAUAGAAUUUAUCGAUCUUGAUAAAAAGGAGUAGUCCUGUGAGAUUUGAGAAGCUAAGUCCGAGAAUCUAUGGCCAUAGUAGUGUGAUUGAUGGAAAGGAGUUUCCAUAGAAGUCAUAACUAGACUUUAGCUAAUCGAAUCUAUCAUAGGACUAAUGUUGAGGUUUAACAAUUUAUCCAUAACUUGCCAUCAAGUCAGGACUCACGAUAGAGGAACUGAAUCACACAUUAACUGUACCUAAAGAUUUAUUUUAGUUCUACUAGUUACCACUACAUACUGCUAGGUGUUACUGGUGGAUUAUGAAAGCUCACAAGGAUUGUUCUGGAUCGACAAUUCUUGAUGAGUUAGAGUGAAAUUAUUCCGAUCCAUUGAAAAAAAUUUUAGUGAUACUUCGAUAGAGAUCAUUGUAUAUCUCACUAUCAGAUAGAAUUGAACCUAUGGGGUCACACAACAAAGAGAUUAGGUC